AUCUCAGUAGCAUAGUGGUUAAUGCACAGCCCCGGAUAGGUUGAAGCGCUGGUUCGAAUCCCGCCAGAGAUG
Molecule: transfer RNA, 72 nt
Filed under: Nippostrongylus brasiliensis
Lineage: Eukaryota; Metazoa; Nematoda; Chromadorea; Rhabditida; Heligmosomidae
Rfam family: tRNA
About the family: Transfer RNA (tRNA) molecules are approximately 80 nucleotides in length. Their secondary structure includes four short double-helical elements and three loops (D, anti-codon, and T loops).
Source: Rfam by way of RNAcentral